GGCGAUGCUCGCUCCUCGCACUGAUGCUCGCCAGCGUGAGCCGAGGUCGCUUUCUGAAAGCCAACCGGGGCCUGUCUGAGCUGUGUCCAGAACAGGCAUCGUUCCCGGGGAGAGGGAGAACCCGGCAUGGCGAGGUUCAUUUACUGAGUCUUUGUGGGACUUUGUGUGAGAUUCGGUUCCGGCUGGCCACGAAACGUUAGCCACCAUCCCAGCACUACCCGGGCAUCCCGGAGCUUCUCUUAACGUAAUUGGCUGGUUGGCCAACUGCAGUUUUCCAACCCAGCCACAGUUCUAACUAACCUCUCCUCAGACUGGAAGCUUCAAAGACAGGCUUGUUUUGCUGACGUGGGUCCUUUAUAGUGGAAGAAAGAGAAAGAAGGGAUGGGGGACACGCCUCUUUGGCCCACCCCACCCCCUUUUAAGACAGGACGUCUUGUAAUACAGACUUGCCUCAAAAACUGCGAAUUGCCCAAUGACCUUCAGUUUCUGCACCGACUGCUUCCACCUCCUGAAGUGCUGGAAUAAACUACCGUCCCAAGUUUUAUAAAGUGCUGGGGGCUGGAACUCAGGGCCUCGUGCAUGCUAAAAGAAGCACUCGACCAGCUGAGCCACAUUCCCAGCCUCCGAGUUUAUUGCUUUUGUAUACUUCCAAGAGUACCUAACCUUUCCCCUAAUUCAGGACUUAAACCUCCAUUUGUUGAUUUCUUCACAAACUUUUACACAACUCCAGGUAUGUAACUAUAACAGGAAUACAAGACAUAUUUAAUGAUAAUAAAUUUAUUUAAAAGCAUUUUUGCUAUGUAUUUGUAGCUUUCCUAUAUUAACUAUUAAAGCAAAUUUGCAUAUUAAUG
Molecule: long non-coding RNA, 851 nt
Filed under: Mus musculus (house mouse)
Lineage: Eukaryota; Metazoa; Chordata; Mammalia; Rodentia; Muridae
Description: long non-coding RNA chr8:23208511-23209362
Source: RNAcentral